Molecule: ribosomal RNA, 250 nt
Filed under: uncultured bacterium
Lineage: Bacteria
Description: partial 16S ribosomal RNA
Rfam family: Bacterial small subunit ribosomal RNA
Source: RNAcentral
UACAGAGGUCCCAAGCGUUGUUCGGAUUCACUGGGCGUAAAGGGUGCGCAGGUGGGUUUGCAAGUUCGAUGUGAAAGCCCCGGGCUUAACCCGGGAAUGGCAUUGGAUACUGCAGAUCUGGAGGAUUGGAGGGGGGACUGGAAUUCUUGGUGUAGCGGUGAAAUGCGUAGAUAUCGGGAGGAAUACCAGUGGCGAAGGCGGCCUUCUGGACGGAUACUGACGCUGAGGCGCGAAAGCCAGGGGAGCAAAC